GACGAACGCUGGCGGCGUGCUUAACACAUGCAAGUCGAACGGACAGGCCCUGCUUUUGUGGGGUGCUCGAGUGCCGAACGGGUGAGUAACACGUGAGUAACCUGCCCUUGACUUUGGGAUAACUUCAGGAAACUGGGGCUAAUACCGGAUAGGAGCUCCUGCUGCAUGGUGGGGGUUGGAAAGUUUCGGCGGUUUGGGAUGGACUCGCGGCUUAUCAGCUUGUUGGUGGGGUAGUGGCUUACCAAGGCUUUGACGGGUAGCCGGCCUGGGAGGGUGACCGGCGACAUUGGGACUGAGAUACGGCCCAGACUCCUACGGGAGGCAGCAGUGGGGAAUAUUGCACAAUGGGCGGAAGCCUGAUGCAGCAACGCCGCGUGCGGGAUGACGGCCUUCGGGUUGUAAACCGCUUUCGCCUGUGACGAAGCGUGAGUGACGGUAAUGGGUAAAGAAGCACCGGCUAACUACGUG
RNAcentral lists this ribosomal RNA (468 nucleotides) under uncultured bacterium. Its description in RNAcentral is "partial 16S ribosomal RNA". It matches the Rfam family "Bacterial small subunit ribosomal RNA", at positions 28 to 507 of the family's 1533-position model. The record is from RNAcentral.